UAUUACAAUGAAGAGUUUGAUCCUGGCUCAGGAUGAACGCUAGCUACAGGCUUAACACAUGCAAGUCGAGGGGCAGCAUGGUCUUAGCUUGCUAAGGCCGAUGGCGACCGGCGCACGGGUGAGUAACACGUAUCCAACCUGCCGUCUACUCUUGGACAGCCUUCUGAAAGGAAGAUUAAUACAAGAUGGCAUCAUGAGUCCGCAUGUUCACAUGAUUAAAGGUAUUCCGGUAGACGAUGGGGAUGCGUUCCAUUAGAUAGUAGGCGGGGUAACGGCCCACCUAGUCUUCGAUGGAUAGGGGUUCUGAGAGGAAGGUCCCCCACAUUGGAACUGAGACACGGUCCAAACUCCUACGGGAGGCAGCAGUGAGGAAUAUUGGUCAAUGGGCGAGAGCCUGAACCAGCCAAGUAGCGUGAAGGAUGACUGCCCUAUGGGUUGUAAACUUCUUUUAUAAAGGAAUAAAGUCGGGUAUGUAUACCCGUUUGCAUGUACUUUAUGAAUAAGGAUCGGCUAACUCCGUGCCAGCAGCCGCGGUAAUACGGAGGAUCCGAGCGUUAUCCGGAUUUAUUGGGUUUAAAGGGAGCGUAGAUGGAUGUUUAAGUCAGUUGUGAAAGUUUGCGGCUCAACCGUAAAAUUGCAGUUGAUACUGGAUAUCUUGAGUGCAGUUGAGGCAGGCGGAAUUCGUGGUGUAGCGGUGAAAUGCUUAGAUAUCACGAAGAACUCCGAUUGCGAAGGCAGCCUGCUAAGCUGCAACUGACAUUGAGGCUCGAAAGUGUGGGUAUCAAACAGGAUUAGAUACCCUGGUAGUCCACACGGUAAACGAUGAAUACUCGCUGUUUGCGAUAUACUGCAAGCGGCCAAGCGAAAGCGUUAAGUAUUCCACCUGGGGAGUACGCCGGCAACGGUGAAACUCAAAGGAAUUGACGGGGGCCCGCACAAGCGGAGGAACAUGUGGUUUAAUUCGAUGAUACGC
RNAcentral lists this ribosomal RNA (973 nucleotides) under Phocaeicola vulgatus. RNAcentral's name for it is "bacterial SSU rRNA". It matches the Rfam family "Bacterial small subunit ribosomal RNA", at positions 1 to 962 of the family's 1533-position model. The record is from RNAcentral. Lineage: Bacteria; Pseudomonadati; Bacteroidota; Bacteroidia; Bacteroidales; Bacteroidaceae.